RNAcentral lists this ribosomal RNA (500 nucleotides) under uncultured bacterium. Its description in RNAcentral is "bacterial SSU rRNA". It matches the Rfam family "Bacterial small subunit ribosomal RNA", at positions 8 to 507 of the family's 1533-position model. The record is from RNAcentral.
AGAGUUUGAUCAUGGCUCAGAAUGAACGCUGGCGGCGUGCCUAACACAUGCAAGUCGAGCGAGAAAGUCUCUUCGGAGAUAAGUACAGCGGCGGACGGUGAGUAACGCGUGAGAAUUUACCCUUUAGUGAAGAAUACCUCUGAGAAAUCAGGGUUAAUACUGCAUACGUCCCUACGGGGAGAAAGGUGGCCUCUUUGCUGCCGCUAAAGGAUAAGCUUGCGUACUAUUAGCUAGUUGGUGAGGUAAAGGCUCACCAAGGCGAUGAUGGUUAGCCGGCCUGAGAGGGUGUACGGCCACACUGGAACUUAGACACGGUCCAGACUCCUACGGGAGGCAGCAGUGAGGAAUAUUGCGCAAUGGGCGAAAGCCUGACGCAGCGACGCCGCGUGGAGGAUGAAGGUCUUCGGAUUGUAAACUCCUGUUAAGUGGGAAGAAAGACCUAUUUCUAAUACAGAUAGGGGAUGACGGUACCAUUAGAGAAAGCACCGGCUAACUUCGUG